CGGCUCUCUGAGAGGCCGCCGAGAAGCGAACGGAACGGCCACCAAUGCUUGGAGGCUAGUUUGUUCUCGUCGCCCAGUCCUCCAGGGUGCGUUUGCCUUGAUCGCCCCUCUUGGCUAUUCGACAUGCGUGUAGCACGCGAAAUUGCAGCUGCACCGGGGCCACCCCCCCUUUCCCCGUCUCACGUCCUUUUCCCGUAGUGACCGAUUCCUUGGUGUACACACGCGUGUCAAGGGAAAAGCUUGGAGAGCUUCGUGUUCAACGCGACGACGGUGCUGCUCGCUGAUGGUAGUGGUGGUGGUGGUGGUGGUAGCAGUGGUAGUAGUGGUAGUCGUGGUGGUGGUGGUAGUGGUGACGAUCGGGUCAUGGUGGAUGUUCGCACAGGAUGACCGCUUAUCAUGGAACACGGUGGAAAAAACGAUGACACCAGGUAUUUGUUACAUCGAAAUUACGCAGCCAAUAUAUCGUACUUGGUACGGCACAGGUGACCGAGACUAUGUGCGCGCGCGGAUGGAACACUUAGGCCCCAUUACGUCCAACCGAACCACUUUAACAUCCCGAUGACACUCGAUGAUUGUAUCUGUACUUACGCUUUUGGAUCGCCGUGUUACGUGGCUCACUGACAUUGAUAAGGAGGUCUGUUGGUUCGCUAUAGCGUGCGAAAAAGGGGACACUUCACUUCCACCGUGAAACAUCGGUGGCACCCUUGAAUACUAAUUUUGAACUGGUUACGCUCGAGAACGAACAGUCACGAAAGGUCUUAGAGUCAAAGGAGCAUAAGCGGAGAGAAGAUGAUCAGGAAACGGGUGCUCCGAUGGUAAAGGUUAUGGUAAUCGAUAAUCGAUGGUAGACAAUGUUCCAAGGACGAACAGACUACGAGAAUUCCCAAAGGAAAUGUAAAAAAUAACGAGGAAAUAUCUGUUACCAACCGUCGCGUGAAACGAUGAUAUUGCUGUGACGCCUGUCACUGUUGGUUGGUCGUUCUGUUGACUCAACCAAUAGUCCUGCGUGCGUCCGUUCAGAGAGAGGACCGAUAACGAUUGUGUCACAGGACGCACGAACUCGUUAUCCUGGACAUCGCUCAACACGAUUUAACUCUCAUACUCUCAGAUAAUCCCACGAAUUAACUUUUCAAAGGAUACUCGUCUGCCUUCGAUUUAUUCCGCUGGUUGAUCGGCGUGCAACUACGUGUAAUUAUCGCUUCACGCUACGCCAUUCGAUCGUUACGGUGUCCCGAUUGCAACAAGGUGUUGCGCUCAUCAAUGUACUUACAUUACAAUCUUGCGCGAGAACUCCGCUCGUCCACGUUGGGAAACGUAGCGUAUACGUAACGUAUUCCACGGAAGUCACUGUAUCUCGUUACUCGACACGGCGAAUCGAGUACGCGUGAAGAUGGAAAGAGAUCGAAUCGCGAAAGCGAUGAAGGUGAUUCGAACAGGCGAUGGUUGUACGCAACCAUGAUCAGAACGAAUCAACGAUCAUCGACGAAGAUUACGAACGUGGUAACUCUGAACAGACUGAACGAAAAUCGAAGGCUCGGCUAGCCGGACGUCCCGUAGAUGAUGAAGCGAACAGGAAAAGGGAACGUCAGCAAGUAGCAUCGGUUCCACCGUGAAAAUAAUUAAUCACGUCACCGAUAAGAACGUCGAACGCUGACAGACGCGGAUUGCUUUCACGAGGCAUCGGUUAUAUCGUCCCUCGGAGGGAAACGGUUAUGCCAGAUCGGCAUGCCAUCGAGAAUAUGCGAGACUAAUGGUUGGCUACCUGAACGAAAGAAAAGGAAACGUACAAGUGGAAACUUUGUGUUGGUCAGAAAUCGGCGUUACCGAUCUGGAAAAGUGACGGGUCACGCGUACGCCAUGGCUUCGAUCGGCGUCGUGCGCUCGGAUACUUCUUUGUUCCUCCUUCAGGGAGAGGGAUCUCCUCUCUUGGAGAUCAGAGAGAGGCAGAUUGAGACACUCGCGGCUACCUGAUCGUCGAUAGAGAACGAAUGGUAAAAUGAACAGCCAUGUGCACUGCGGAGGGGCCACAAACCGAACAGAUAAGAAUCAUUUUUCAAAGGCGUGUUACCGGGAACGCGCGACGGAAGGGAGAGAAGAGUCACGUUUUAUGAUAAAUGAACAGCAAAGUCUGUGGAUGCCGAUUUUCCAAGCAGGAGAUGUCCUUGAGGGAAUUGGUGAAUAUGAAAAAUGAAUGAACAGAGACCGGACAAGCCGUGAAUCGUUGUCAUUGAAUUUUUGCCCGGAAACCGAGACCGAGUAGAUGUUGCCGUCCCUGGCGAAGCACGUCAACUCGGCGGCGAGAGGCACACGGCAAUGGCAGCAACGAAGGCAGCCGCAGUGCCACGCGCGAUCCGCAGCCUUUAGGUACCAUCGUUCGGCUAUCUCUCUGCCGCAACCCCCGCAACCGAGGCCACCAUCGGAGUUGUUGUUCUCACCGGUGCCGAUCUGUCGAUUGCUGAUGGCACCAUCCCCUGGCGGGGGUGUGCUGCUCCCACAGCCCACUUCCUUCAGCAUCUCGAGGAGAAUCGCCGCGACCACCGGCGCAUUCUGGGACAAACGUAGUUGCGUCUUCAGUUCGGAGCAUGGAAUUAUUGCAGUUUCAGGGAAACAUUCCACAUUACCAAUGGCGAAUAGCCUUCAUCCCAUUCACGUUUAUCACUGGUGCAUCGCAUCAUCGAUGGCUUGACCGUUUCGCGGUCGCAAAUCCAAGGUUUUACCUUUGUGUGUAUCGGUUGGCUGGGUCCUCGUACAUAAUCGUGACCGCAGAAUGGUUCCGGAGCGUCAUAUCCUUCGGCACGAUUAAAGAACCGACGACUUUAAUCCCGGACGAGUGUCCACGGGAACGCUGGGAAUACGAUUCCAGCAUAAAGCGACGACUUUAUGGUUAUUCGACGUACGAUUCGCUGACGGGUUCACUUUGUGGAAGACAACGGGGCUGGAAGGAAGAGGAACAGGGAGGCGGAGGAAGACGAUGACGAGGAGGAGAACGAGGACGACUCACGAAGGACGACAAAACGCAGCAGCCACGCCGGUUUUGCUACCUGAACGCUUGCUCCCAGCGAGAGCUUUCUUUCAUCUAACGGGUGACGCGUUGUGAAUUGAAAUAUUUGACAUUUUAAAGUAAGAAGUAAUUCGCUUCGUUUUUCAAUUCUCCACAACAAUUCAUGUUCAGUUCUGCCACUUCAAGAAUUUUUCAAUUUCGGUGUUUUAUUAUUUGGAAAAUCAGAUUUGAUAUGGUACAGAACUUUUGGUUUAUUGAAUUCUGUCUGUGUUCGUUCAGUUAAUUUUGUUUGUUCCUGUCGAUAUCUUUCUCGAUAUUAUUCGGCUUGUUUAUUCUUUCUUGUUCAACUAAUCUUUAGAAUCGUAUGCAACAAAAUUUCUUUUUUAUUUUAUCGCUAAUAAUAGGACAUUAUUUUUCCUGAUGUUUGCGUAAAGAAGACAUUAUGCAGCAAAGUAGAUAGAUUUCUUUUUAAACAAUAUUUUUUACUGCUUUCUUAAAAUAGUAUGUCUCUAAUUUAUUCAGUUAAUGCGGUAAAUUUAUAAUAAUUAUACUUCAUAGUACUCUUAUUUUUGAACUGCAUUAGCGAACAAAUUUCUCUUUGGGCUAAUCCAUUUGUUAUUUCGCUAAAGAUAGAGAUGGUUACUGUAAGGGAAUUUGCUGUAUCUAGUGGCUUUCCAUGGAAUCCCUUCUUGAUUGCAUGAACUGACUGUUAACGUAGCGCAGAAAUAGCGGAGAAACAUUUCAGAAAUAAACUGUGAACUUCACCGUCAGGUGUAGCCAUGAA
This is a long non-coding RNA of Bombus pascuorum, 3785 nucleotides long. RefSeq lists it as uncharacterized. The record is from RefSeq and is a predicted model, not a curated record. NCBI's taxonomy places the organism in Eukaryota, Metazoa, Arthropoda, Insecta, Hymenoptera, Apidae. The transcript is spliced from 3 exons.